GCAGCUCUGAUCUUUGCACCAGGUUUUAUCCUUUCAAACCCCAGGGCAAUGUUUCUCCAUGAUGAAUUUGAUGUUUUCAGCCGCACCUCCUAACCCCAAUAUCACCCACCUUCCCUUUUCCCAUCCUGUUGAAUUUCUGAGCCCAUUUCCCACGGGGAGGGCGACCCCUCCGCCAGGAUCAGGGUGUAGGAUUUGGGGGAAUCUCCCCAUUUCCAGCAUAAUCCUACCCGUGCCCUGCGGGCUCUGCAGGAGCACAGCCCAGCUGCCCAGCAAAUGCGCGAGCAGCCCGCUGCAAUCAGGCUUUAGCUGGGUGCCCCUCAUUUUAAUCAUUUACAGCGGGGUUAGGGCUCUGCUCUGACUGUCGUCUGCUGUUAUGGCUGGUGACCGUGUCAGGGAAGGGGAUCCUGCUCUGGUUUUGGGGUGUCUCACACUGUUUUUUCUCCAUCAGGGCCAUGACAGCGUCUCCUCGCUCUGACGGCUGGGAGGAAACUUCCAGCUCCCCCCCUCUCCAAGUCCUGCUGGUCUCGGACCGGUGCUGGGCUUCAGCUGGAUGAGCUCCUCUGCCCUUCUCCGGAUUUUAUUCCCCUUGAAAUAUUUGCCUUUCAGAUGAAGCUCCCCCGUGUCUGGUCCGAUGGCAUUUGUAUUCCUCUGCCUCUCCUGGAAACACUUCUCCAAUUCAAAAUUGUGUUUGGCUUGUAACCCGCCGGUGGCUCUCCAACAGCUCCAGCCAUCCCGGCACACCGGGGACCCUCCUGUGCCACUAUUUUCCUUGCAGGCUGCCUCCUUGUACCCCAAAUCCAUCCUUGCUGAGCUGCUGCCACGGGAAUGUCUCUGUGCCAAAGCCAGCGGUGACCCCAGGACAGAUUUUUCCUUUCUCAAGGAAGUCAAAAGGUACCGGGGAAAUCCCAAAUGAAGUGGAGCUUGGGGCUGGCACUGGGUGAAUACGGAUCAGCACCGUGGUGACUUUCAGGAGCUGAAAACCUCUGGUUCCCCGAUGUGAGGAGCACACUUGGUGCGUCCUUGGGCGCGUUCCUUCAUCGCCUCCAGGCAACGCCACCCGCUGGGUCUGGUCCUGAGCAGCAUCCCCUGCCCUGUGCCUGGACAGCACCCGUGCCGUGAGCUGGGGGGCUGCCAGAGAGAGCCAAAGCUUCCCAAAACCAGCCUGAGCAUGUGGAGAGCUUGGGGAGGUGCUGGGGGCUUUCUGGGCUCUGUUUGCAGCCCCGUCCUCCUCCGGCUGGCAAACGGCGCGGUGCUGGAGCCAGGUGACAGGCAUGGGGUACCCGAACCCAUCUGAUAACGGCCCAGGUGCUGCCGUUCCCAGCCGGAGAGGCGGGCAGGGGGUGCUGAGCUUUGUGUCCCGGUGGUUUUCAUCAGGGCAGCAGCUGCUUCCCCUGCAGCAGGGGCUCGGUGAUUGCACCGCGGGUUGUAGGGCUGCUGGGGCUGAGACGUGAGCGCAGCCAGGGUCACGGCGGUGGGGACAUGGGCAGGGACGUGUCCCCUCCUUGGGCAUAGUUUUGCAGCCCUUCGGGGUGGUCAUGAACCUUCUGCCCCCCAAAAAGGGCCAACAACAGGGGCUCAACUGUGCUUGUCCUCCCCCCUCUUCCUUCCCUCCCCGCGUUGCUCUCCCAGCUCCGAGCUGCUGCGUUUCUCUUCCCCUCUCUUUCUGCUUGCACACCUUGAGGUAGAAACAUCUGCUUUUUGUACAAAAGCUCUUUGUGUUGUAUUCCCCACCCCGGGGGGGGAGUUGGGCUCCUCCAAGAGCUGCCUCACCGUGGCGAGGACGCGCACCCCAUGCCCAGCACCUCCGUGGCCCCAACAGCCCAGAGCCCCAAAAAUACUGGGGAUGGAGCUGGGGGGAGCCCUUGGAGACCCCCAGGGCCGCAGCCUCCACCUUCCCCCACUAUUUAGUUAUUUAUUGCUGGCCAAGUGCUGACGUGGGGCAUUCCUCGCAUCCCUGCGGGACGGGGGCUGCUCCUUCCAGAUCCUGCACCCUGGGGAGCGGCUGCGGGGCGCAGGGCAGGUGGGGUGCUGAGAGCCCCCCUGAGCAAACUGGGAGCUGUGGAAAGAGGAAAGUGGCUCUGGAGGAGAGGAGGAUUGUCCCGUGGUAGUGCAGGAAGGAGGAAUUUGAGGGGGAAGGAGCCUGGCACCUCGGGGUGAGACCCACGGGCUUCGCCGGGACGUGGGGUGCACCCGGAUCUCCCCUCUCUGCUUUCUGCCCGAUGCUCGCGUGCUGUGGGAGAAGAAACCAGGGGUUGGAGCUCCUCGUCUGGAAGCAUCGAGCCAUUUGGGGAAAAGCCAGCUCAGCUCCGGACCCCUGCAUCCCCGUGUGCACAGCGCUGGAGGUCUGUCCCCAUCGCUGCCACCACCGCCGGCCCGGCUCUCCAGCAGGUUUGCUCCCCGAGAGGUGCCAGAGCGUUCAUUGCGAUGCACGCCGUGAUGCCGACGAGUCCAUUAGGGGGAUUAAUUCGGAUGGCAUUUAAUAAACAGCCACUCGGAGGGGUUAAAAAAAAUAAAUAAAAAAAAGAAGCCACAUGUGGAUGCGGGAGAGGAAGGGGGGGGUGAUAAAAUAGAGAGGAGUCGCAGUUUUGUGCACGGUAAGAGGGGGCAGGAUUAAAACACAUGUGGAAGGGGCCGAGCACCUUGGGUUCACGUUCCCCUGGUUGUUUUGGGAAAACCCCAGGCUGAAAUUUUGGGAUGGGGGCAAAUCAGGGCUGGGGGGGGGAGGGAGGAUCCAGCCCCAGCCUGAUCCAAGGCAGCCGCGGUGGGGCCGGGGGGGCUCGGAGGCCGUUGGUGCCCAUAUGGUGUGUAUUACAAGCUCCUUUCUAGUUGUAAAGAUUAAUUUAAAGCCUUUCUCACCUCCCCCCCAUCCCUCUUUCAUUGACAAAUGAACAUCUGGGCUGAAUGCUGCCCAGAUCCUAAUCAAAGCAUUUUUGUAGGGGCGCUGUCUGCGUUUAGGGCUAUCUGCGCCCUCGCUUCGCCGCCGCUUCGAUGCGCUCGGCCAUUCCGCCCGCACGCACCCCACGCUGGUAUUUAUGGUGCACGCUUGGGUUUUUAACCUGAUUUCGCUCUUUAAUGCAAUUUUUCUCUUUGCCUUCCCAUCCGCUUGCUUGUUUGGUGUGGUUUAACGCCGCCCUGGCUGUAUGGGAGUGAGGGCACAAUGGGGUUUCUUUCCCCGUUUUAUGGUGGAUUACUGAUGAUGAGCAAAAAAAAAUGUAUUUUUUGGCUACGUGGGUUGAUGGGAGGGGAUCCCAAAUCCCCAGUGAGCAUCUCUGCUCACCCCAAAGCAUCAUCAGUAGCCAUUCUCCAACCCAGGUGAAACACCGAGGGUUCCCCCUGCUUGGGGGAGGCUUUUGCGGUCUGGCCUUUGGGAUUUAAUUUGAUUUGAGUACCUGGCCAGAAUGGGGCUGUCUUUCUGCUCUUGUUUAAAGUGGGUUUGCUGCUGUCUUUGGUUUUGUAGAUGCUCAGCCUGGUGCAAAAGUUCCUGUCCAUAUAGGAAGCUGUCCGUAUAGGAAGCUGUCCGUAUAGGAAGCCGUUCCCCUGCAGACUCCCACAUGGGAUUUAAAGGAUUAAUAUUUAAAAUCCGGCUGGGAUGUUGGGUGACAUUGGUCAUGGCGCAGGUGGAGAGGAAAGGAGGGUGCCUGAGGCUGUAGGUGAGGAAAAAGGAGGAGGAAAGUCCCUUUUGGGUGAAUACAACGUGACUUGAAGGAGACGUGUGGGGUCCCCUGUGUCCAUCCCUGUCCCAGCCUCUUGCACAGAAGGGAGCUGGGCAGUGAAGGAGGACAAAUUUGGGGGAACACGGAGCACGUUCCUUUCUGUAGGUCGGGUGUGAGCAAACAGGAGGAGGGGAAGGGGCUGGGGAAGGGGGAUUGGGCUCGAAGCAGAGCUCCUGGGGCCGGGUACCCCUGCGGACGCACUGGAUCAGGGUUGGGGGAUAUCAGGGUGCUUAAAAACAUCGAGGAGAGGUCUUGUUUGUACAGCAAGUGUGUGGGGUGGUGGGGAUAUUGACUAAAAAUGUUAUCCUAAGAGAGAUAGAAACCAUUGUGGUGGAAAGGGCUCGCUUCAAGGGUGGCCCAAAUCCUGCCGGCUGGUGCCGAUGGGGACUCCUAUAAUAAUAGGUAUUUUAGCCAAUGUGUACCCCCCAUGCGCACAGGGACUUCUUGUCCCACUCGCUCUGUUUCGGAGGUUGCCCUCUGCACAUUGUGGCCGAGGAGGCUUUUUGGGGUGGUGGAAGAGGGAGGCGAUGGGUCCUGGGGGGCCCCACGGUGUCCCCAUGGAGGAGGAGGCGAUACCCAGCACCUCCAUCUCCAAACGUGUCCCCGGUGCCAUGCAUCGGGCAGGCACUGCCCUGCUCCGCGAGCUGCUGCUGAGCGGGGAUUUGCUGCUGGAACUCCGCUCAGAAAGUCACUUCCAGCCUUUUCUCAUUUCUCCUGGAUUUAAGGCAGCUUCCAAAUUCCUGCGCAGCCAAAUCCUCGCUGGGGCUGCCAGGAAACCCAGCCAGAAACGAGUACGUGCUGUUUCUGUACCCGCAGCGCAUCCAGGAUUCCUGUUAUUCUGCGGCUGACGAGGACGGGCAGCAGCCCCGGUCCUCCCCACACCAUCCCGGUGCUGUCACAUCCCUGCCACACGUCUGUGGGUCAGGGAACACAGACCAGGGGGGCCCCCGCUGCGCCGUCCCCUUCCCUGGCACCUGGGCUCAUCCCGUGCCCAAAACUCGAGGUGAUGGGGACAGUCCCACCGGCUCCGUGCCAGGCCCCUGCUGCUCAGCAGCCAUCGCUGAACUUUAUUUAUUUUUUGGGGUAUUUUUAACCCGAAAACCCACCCCAGAUUCCCUAAACUUUACCCGCCCGCCCUCCCCGUAACCUCGCCGCCUUCCCCAAGCGUGGAAGCGCGUUGGCUUUAUCUGCUCCUGCGCAGGAUUUAUUAUCCCCAGGACUUCCUGUGCUUUCUUUCAACAUGCUCUAUUUCUCCUCGCGAGCAAUAAAUCAAAACUGUUUGUUUCGGGUUGCUUCUUUUCUAAAAAAAAAAAUAAAUAAAUUAUUAUUUUUUUUUCUAAUUUCUUCCUCCGUAGCGCUGGUGCCGUGGGGAGCGCCUGGCAGCCCCGGGGGUUUCAGGACGAGCCGGAGGUGCAGGGGAGAUGCGGAGAAGCCCCAAGGCCAUGGACUUUGGUAUGAACCCAGCUGGGAUCCUGACCUUCCCGCAGCGCUUUCCUCACCUGGAGGCAUUUUUUAUUUUUUAUUUUUCCCUCUCCCCUCGUGCAGCGUUGGCUCUGCAAACCGUGCCGGCCGCCUGGGAAGCAGCCUGGUCACGCUCCCAGUGCCGAAUUUUUGGGGGAUUAUUAUUUUCCAGCGGCUCUUAUACAACGGCAGAGGAAGCCUGCAGGGUUUCCACCGCCCCUCGCCAGCGCCGCGCGUGCUGGUUUGGGCACGCCUGCGACAGCGUGGGUGCGCCUGGGGGUGCAGGGAGCAAACAGGAUCCACCAGGAGACUUUGGCUUAUAGGAAACAUGUGUCCCAAGGAUUAACAGCCGUGUAAAAGAUAAAGCAGCCAGUCGAAGCUCCAGCCAGCACGUUUCAAAGAGCCCGCUGCUGUCGCGCCGGGCAAGAACCGGGGCGAGAAGGAAGGGGAUGGGGAAGGUAAAAAUGGGCUGCAGAUCGCCCCGUCCCGAUAACACCAGGCUGGGGAUGGAGCUGCUGCUGCUGGCUUUGCUCCCUGGGGAUGUGAGCGCAGAGCAGUGUCCAACCUCUGUCCCUCUGCCCCAUUUCUUCCACCUCUCCCCCUUCUUUUCCUUUUUUUUUUAUUUAUUAUUUUUUAUUUCUUUAUUUUCCCAGGCCCCAAUUUCUCCCCCGUCGAGGCAAACGCUUCGGCUAAUUAGCAAAACGCGUCCAAGACCGUGAUUAAUAUCCCGGGAGGAGAUCUCGCUGCCUUUGUGCCGGCGAGGACUGACUUCUGCUCUAAAGGUUUUAUUAAAAAUAAAGGGAGCCGGGGACGGGCGAGCGCAGCGUGCGCCCUGCCUGGAGUUAUGGGGUUGGAGAGGGGGGACGCGGGCGGAUCGGGGUCACCGUUGGAGGGAGGGGGCUCGUAUUCCCCUGCCUCGGUGUGUGACGGUCACCGUGGUGUCUGGCCUUGGCAGAGGGAAAGGCGGAAAGCGCCGCUGAAUGGUGGCUUUAUUCCUGCAGGGGCAGGUAACCCAAUCCCCUUGGCCAGAAGGAUCCCUGCGUGGGUGCGUGCCAAGGGGGGAUUUGGGGAGGGGAUGCUCGGGGUGGGCGUCCCGAAUUGGGGCUGAGUCUGGCAUCACAUUAGGGUGAUGAGGAGGGGGCACCAGGGCAGGGUCCCCAUCCCAGCCCUCUGGCUGAGGGCAGUUCUGGCAGCAGGGCCAGAGGUACCCGCACCCUAUAUCCAGGCUCGAGCCCCUAACAGGACACCCCUAACACGGUUUGCCGUGUGCCAAACCUCACCAUCUGAGCCAAAUCCCUACAAAUCCACCCCCAAACCACCCCCGUUUGCAGCGGGCUCUCACAAAACCCCCACGACCCUCCCACCAUCCCAUGACCCAGACCCAGCAGCAUCGCACGGGACGUGCCAAAAUCCCGGCGGCGGGGCAGGGACGGGACCAGAGGGAGCUCCAGCUCCGGCUCUCCUCAUUAUAAUUAUAAUUAUUAUUAAAAAUCUGGAAUCUUGAGAAACUCCAAAAGCCAGCAGCCAUCUGCAACCCAUCCCGGGGGGGCCGGAGGGAGCCUCGGUGGGGGCUGCGUGCGGCCGGGUGCGCUCGGCGAGGUUUUUUUUCCCCGCAGUAAGCAGGCCCCCGGGCUUUAAUGAGCUAUUUGUAAAACUGGCUCUGGAUAAACAAGAGGCCGUGUGUCAGGCUGGAGGCGGCCUCGCAGGGCUCGGCGGCGCUGGGUGGGACCUCAGCGCAGAAAUAUUUUCAAGAUAAACAGAGGAAAAGGAGUCCUGGAGGAGGAGGAGGAGGCCGGAGCCGCUGGCAGCGGCACGCCGCUCCUCUCCGAGAUAUUUCGGGGCAGGGACUUGGCUUUCUGCACACCGUGGCUGAAAGAUGCCUUUUUUUUUUUUUAAUUUUUUUCUUUUUUUUUUUUUUCUUUUUUUUCCUCCAAGGGGAACCUCGAGCGCUGCUGGGUCAGAACUAACCCCCCCAGGUGCUUUGCAGGAAAGCCCUGUAUGGGGGUAUGGGGAGGAGAGGUGCAAAGCAGGGGGUUGGUCGGGGUGUUUUGGGGUACAGGAGAGCCCCCCCGGGAUCCCCCACAGCUCUUCCAUCCCCACGGGUGGGUAGGGGAAAGGCUGUGCCCCUCCAUCCAUCCCUGCCCUCCUCACCAGCAGCUCAGGGGGAUGCUCUGGGGAGGGGGCACGGGGGCAGGAUCACACCUUUGGGGGCCUGGUGGGUUCCCACCACCUUUUCCCAGUACCGAUGGCCAAAACCCAUCCGCUGGGGAUGCCCCAGGGGUGCCCAGGACCCCAGUGCCCCCCCUGCCCUGCACGCUGCCAAUCUGCCCCCCACCCCAAAAUGCUAAAAAGAGGGCUAAGAGGGGUGGGAGAAGACGACCCCGAUCCUGCCCCCGCUGGGUCCUGCCCCAUCACCAGCCUUCCCCGCCAAGCUUUGGGGCCACGGCUGCAGAGAUCUGCCCGGUAUCUCCCUCUCCUCCCCACCCCCAGCAAAUUUAAUUAAAAGUCAUUCAGAUUCCUUUGAAAGAAAAUGUCAUCCGUCGACACAAUUACACUUUAACUAACCAAAGCUGUUACAGUUCCUAUAUAUAUUGGAAUCAGGCUGUCGUUAUUAGUUCUAAGUAAGUAAUUUAUUCCCAUUAUUGUGUUCAAAUUACAGGAUAUUACCCCCUGGGGAAAUAAUCCUGUUAUUUGAAAUGUAAAAAAGAAUUCACAUGGACAACAAUGGAUUCCUAAACGAACCUAACAACAGUCCCGAAUCCAGGCACAGCAGCGGCUACAAAUCCAGAAAGUUGCUUUUAAAAAUGUGUUUUCUCCUCUUUUCCUCCUCCCACCCCGGCGGAGGUAAAUAGGGCUCCUCCUCUCCGCCAAAAACCUCUAUUUAUUGGGGGAGCGGGGCCGAAUCUGCAGGAAUUUGGCGGGGAGCAGGGGCCGAGCUGCAGCCCCGCGGGGGUCCCGUGGGGGUUUUUGCAGCAUCGCUCCCUUCAUCGCCAUCUCCUUGGGAGAAGCCAAAUUAAAAGCUCGUCCCCGCGCCACCCAAACAUCAGCAAGUCAUUGGGACCCCCGAAAGGAAAAAAAGGGGAAAAAAAAAAAAAAAAAGGCAAGAAAAGAAAGAGAAAGAGGAGGAAGAGGGAGGGGAGGGAGGAAAAUCAGAUACACUUGUAACCUGAUUACAGCAGCCAGCUAUGUGUGCAAAAUCACAAUGCAGCUCUAUAAUUAAAUCUCUCUUUCCCCCUCCUGCCGAGCUCUUUCCUCUAACAGCCACGGUACAAAAACAGUCGUUAGGACAUCAAAUUCCAGCUCCGACAAGAGGGGACUUUUUUUUUUUCUUCUUUUUUUUUUUUUUUGUCUCUAGCCGCUCGGCUCGUCUUUAAGGAAAUAAUAAUUAUCGGCCCGCUGCCUGCAGAGCUUUGUGGGGCAGAAAGGGCUCGCCUCGCCGAACCCCGCUGCUCGCCGGGGCGUGGGGACGCCCGUCCCGGGUCCUGCAUCACACCCAGGGCCACGAGGAGCAUUGGGGACGUGGGAAGGGACAGUCAAGGGACACCCUCACCGGGGGUUGGAGGCGAAAGGACACCGUGGGGUCUCGCACUGGGGCUGGGGAGCCCUCUCCAACAGUGCUUGGACCGGGGAUGUUUCCACCAAAUUUGCCCCCAUGGGGUCCUUCCAGUGUGUUUGGGUUGGCCAUGGGGUGCUGUGACGUGCCCAUGGGGUGCUGUGACGGCUUGGUGGGUGCACGGAGCACCCCAAGGACAGGAGGAGCCAGUGGCUCCGAGGGUCUCCCCGUGCGCCCCUUAUUGCUGCCGAAUUUUUGGUGUUCAUCCCGGCGGGCUCUCUCCAGACGUGCUUUUGCCGGCAGCAGCAGGCCGGGCUCAGCUUUGGGGCCCGUUUCCCUGUGGGUCAGGCUCUUUUUUUGGGGUGUUUUUGGCGUUGGGUUUUGCCCCUGCUCUUCUUUUCCACCAGCGGGGCCGGGGCGCUGAGCUGCGCGCGGUGACGGCGCGGCUGGGGCAGAGUCCCUGGGGAGGGCGAGGAAAAAAAAAAUACAGCCCUGGGGGGGCCGUGGUGGGACCUGGCACGUGAAAUCACCACGGGGGGGGUGGGGCGCGGGGAUGGUGCCUGUCACGAUAGGGCAGGGUCCUUGGAUGGCUCCUUGUCACGAUAGGGCAGGGCGCACGGACAGGGCGCACGGGCAGCACCUCGGGACAGGGCAGGGUCCACGGAUGGCACCUUGUCGUGACACGUUGCAUGUCACGACAGGCAGGCAUGUAGAAGGGGACACCGGUUUUACCCCAAAUCCCAAACUUGAUCCCAAAUCGGAUGCUCCCUCCCAGCCCCAUCCGAUCCCAAAAUGACAGAUCCAGGGAACCCCCCCUCGGGCACGGGUUGGCACAGGGCUCACCCUGCACAGCCCGGCACACGGGUGCCAAAAACCUCCAGUUGUGACACCGGGCGUUAUAGGGGGGCUGCAUUUUGGGGUAUUUCCCCUACAUUUCCCCACUAAACCACAUUUUUCACUCCCUGGGGUGUGAGCAGCCCUGGGAUCUGCGCUCCUCCCCAGCCAUCCGCGGGUGGUGGGUGCCAGCCCCCAUCCUGCUCGGGGGGGUUCUUUAUUUUUUAUUUAUUUUUGCCUGAUUUUGGAAGAAAAAAAAAACUUUUUAUAGGGUAAAAGAUGAGAAAAAAAAAAAAAAAGCAAAAACCAACACCCAAACCAAAACACAAGCCAAGAAGCCAGCCCUGCUCCACCAAACACCCCGGGAUCCUUCACCUGCUUCCUGGGGGUCUCCCUAUGGGACCCCCCCACCGGGAUGCAGCGAGGAUGGGGGGGUCGCAUGCCCCCCAAAUUUAUCCUGGUAUUGGGAUGCGUUGCACCAGGGACCCCUUUUUGCCUUCAAAUCCCAUCCGUGCUGUGCCACCCCCUGGGGGGGGGGGUGUUAUUUUGGGGGGGGGAUCCCUGCUCCGCUUUGGUGAUGUGGGAAAGGAAUUGAGCCCCCCCCCUUUAGCCCCCCCAAGGCUUUGCCCCCCCAAAAAGCAAGGGAAGGGAGAUUUUUGGAGGGGGGGGGACAGUUUGUUUUGACUCUCACAUCUCCAGGCUGGUCCCUUCUGUUCCCAUUGACCCCCCCAAGGGU
This is a long non-coding RNA of Anas platyrhynchos (mallard), 10297 nucleotides long. RefSeq lists it as uncharacterized. NCBI's taxonomy places the organism in Eukaryota, Metazoa, Chordata, Aves, Anseriformes, Anatidae. The record is from RefSeq and is a predicted model, not a curated record.